CCCCCAGAGCCAGGUAGUUGUGCUUAAUGCUUUGCAGGUCUCCCCAGGCAGUGCCUUUGGUGCUCACGUGGAUGAACAACACAGGAUGACAGUGUGAGGGGCAGACAAGCCUUGGCCAUCUUCACYGAYGGGYCUUCCCACUGUGACGGAAACACCCUCACGAUCAUGAUCCCAGCCAAGUUGCCUUGACCUCCUCUCCCUCUUUUGUCCAUCCAGGCCCUCAAUGCUCCUGGUUGGGUUUUGUCAUUUACUGCAGGUCCGAACAAACCCACACACCCGCCUGCCUCCUCCCCAUGGACUUCAGUGACACCACUAAACUCCCUGGCACCUUCAUGCCCUUGGGGUCCCCCUGGAAACCCUGAAAGCCCAAGGACACCUCGACACCUUCCUGUGUGGUUGGCGUUCAGGGCACCAUCCAAAGAGGACAGUGGAGAUGGCAUUGAUAAGUUAGAACAGGCUUCUCUGAGCAAAAGUCAUUCUGCUCCUCAUAGCACCCCACACAUUGCCUCUCUCCUUUACUUUGCUCACCUCCCUUUCCUGAUCUCUGGUUUGUGCUGAGGAUGUUGUGCAGCACAGGGGCCUCUGCCCAUGGGCUCCACAGGAGUCAGCCCUGCUCUGCUGGGGAGUGCAAAUGGAGAUGUCAGACUGCCUUGUGUAUUUGGUGGGCAUACCUGGGGAUGGGCACCAUGAGCUGAGUGACUCAUGUCCAGUGACUCAGUGGCAACAGUCUCUUUUUAUCUUUGUGAGAGACCAAUACAGCACUCAUGGCAGCUGACUCCGAAAGAGAAGAUCCUUCUGAGGGAUGCAUAUCUCCCAACCUUGCCCUCCUCAACAGAAAAAAAAAAAACAUUGCUGAGAGCAGACGAGUCCAGUUUCAAAACCGCAGAUCUCCAACCAUCUCUCCCUUUCUCAGGGCACCGGAGGGAGGUCUCCACACUCCUCUUCUAGCCAAGGACACAUAGGGCUUUUUCAGAUGCCCAUAUACAGCCUCCCACCACCAUCUCCAUACUCUCAGCAUCUCUGCACCUUCUUCAUUUCUCUCUCAGAUAUCACAGAGGUGCUAUGAGACAGCAGUGCCCUUCUGGAGGGCAGCUCGCAGGCUGCCAGGACACUAUAAGGAAAUGGUCAAAGGACUCUUAGGACUGGAGAUGGGCUCUCCUUAAGGGAGAGUCAGCUCAUUUCCCAACCCCACAGAUUGCAUUUUCUAGAGCUCCACAAGUCAGAAGGGGGCUGGGGCAACCUCAUUCCCAUGCAGAUCCCUCUG
This 1264-nucleotide long non-coding RNA is filed under the name Apteryx haastii (Great spotted kiwi). RNAcentral describes it as "lncRNA (ENSAHAG00000000371.1)". The record is from RNAcentral. Lineage: Eukaryota; Metazoa; Chordata; Aves; Apterygiformes; Apterygidae.